Molecule: long non-coding RNA, 1218 nt
Filed under: Nicotiana tabacum (common tobacco)
Lineage: Eukaryota; Viridiplantae; Streptophyta; Magnoliopsida; Solanales; Solanaceae
Description: long non-coding RNA (NTAB_LNC005249)
Source: RNAcentral
UGGUUUUGGUGAGAAUUGCAGCACUGGAUGCAAAAGCAGUUGUCGACUCCCAUCUUCUUCCUCUCAUAUGUAGCGUCAAGUACUGUUGACUAUGCGAAGAGUUUCCUUGAGUGGAUGAGCGAUUCAAUUGCAAAAUCUUUUGAGCACACUCGGACAAUGAUUUUCUAUUAAGGUAAGGAUGAUAUUACUUUCAGCAUGGAAGAGAAGAUCAACUAUCUUUUUAAGUGAUAAUUUUAGGAUGAUAAAGAGUUCGACAAACUUCUAUAGUAAAAAUAUCCAAAAGGAUAUCAAAAGGUUUGAAAAAUUAAAACUCUAGUGAUCAUCUGAUGGUUUCCCUAUUAUACCAACUUUCCAAUAAAUGUAUUUGUUUUUUUGCUGCUACCACCAAUUUCAUAUGCCAGUAUACCACCUUCUGAUCUCUGUACUCAUUUUAACUUCACCAAUAAAAUGGGAAGAGAGUGUUUUAUUGUGCUAUAUUUGGUAUACAUAUGAAAAUUUCGUACCAGGAAAACCUUAGACCGGAGAAUGAUUGAUUUCUCUCACUGUCCUAUUCUGCUUCAGUGAUUUGCUUUCUUUAUUUAAGAGAAUUAACUGUUUUAACGGGAAAUAUCUUUUCUUGGGCAUAAAAUGUGCGCCGUUUUCUGGUAUAAUAAGAAAUUUAUUGUUGAGGCAAAGCUGAUAUAGACACCGCAAUGGAAUGUCUUAUCAGCUUACUUGGCAGUUUUCAUGCAUUUAAGCAAAUUAUAAUCUGGUAUAAUGUUCCUACUUGUCCAUUGGUUUCAAUUGAUUGAUAGAUUGUUGUUGAUACUUAGUAAGUUUUGCUAAGCUAUGUCACAUUCUGGAACCUAUAUUCCUCCCAACAAAAAGAAUUUGUUACGUGAUUCUAUUUUUCAGCUUCAUUGUCCUUUUUUGCUAUCAAACAGUAAGCAUUCAUCCGUAUGUUGUGCCUAACGACUUGUUAACUAGUAGUUGUUCUUUGAAAGAGGAAGUGAACAUAAUCCUUACCAAGCAUGGGCUGGUUCUGUACUUUAAAAAUGCCUUUUGUUAAAUUUCACAAAGUUAGGUUGAGAUAUAUAGGAAAAAGACCCUCACUGAAGUUCUACGCAUUUAUUUGUCUUUCCUUUACAGGUUGUGAAUGACAUUUGUCUUGUGGCAUCCACUGAAAGGGUAGCAUCCUGUGAUGGGACAGUGCAUGUGUGGAAUGGCCAAACGGGGAAG